UACGUAGGGGGCAAGCGUUGUCCGGAUUUAUUGGGCGUAAAGAGCUCGUAGGUGGUUCGGUAAGUCGGAUGUGAAAUCUCCAGGCUCAACCUGGAGGGGUCAUUCGAUACUGCCGUGACUAGAGUUCGGUAGGGGAGUGUGGAAUUCCACGUGUAGCAGUGAAAUGCGUAGAUAUGUGGAGGAACACCGAUGGCGAAGGCAGCCCCCUGGGAUAACACUGACGCUCAUGCACGAAAGCGUGGGGAGCAAACAGG
This 254-nucleotide ribosomal RNA is filed under the name uncultured bacterium. RNAcentral describes it as "partial 16S ribosomal RNA". It matches the Rfam family "Bacterial small subunit ribosomal RNA", at positions 524 to 776 of the family's 1533-position model. The record is from RNAcentral.